GUAGGGGGCAAGCGUUGUCCGGAAUUAUUGGGCGUAAAGCGCGCGCAGGCGGCUAUUUAAGUCUGGUGUUUAAACCUUGGGCUCAACCUGAGGUCGCACUGGAAACUGGGUGGCUUGAGUACAGAAGAGGAAAGUGGAAUUCCACGUGUAGCGGUGAAAUGCGUAGAGAUGUGGAGGAACACCAGUGGCGAAGGCGACUUUCUGGGCUGUAACUGACGCUGAGGCGCGAAAGCGUGGGGAGCAAACCAGGAUUAGAUACCCUGGUAGUCCACGCCGUAAACGAUGAGUGCUAGGCGUUAGGGGUUUCGAUACCCCUUGGUGCCGAAGUUAACACAGUAAGCACUCCGCCUGGGGAGUACGGUCGCAAGACUG
Molecule: ribosomal RNA, 372 nt
Filed under: uncultured organism
Description: partial 16S ribosomal RNA
Rfam family: Bacterial small subunit ribosomal RNA
Source: RNAcentral